AAGAAUCAAGCUGGUGUUGUUGUCAUCUGCACUGAGCACAAACCCAAAAAGAUCUUAGCUAGGUCCAGAGUGGACUUUUAGAAAAAUGUUUGCACUUAGUAUGCAGCCCAACUUCCAGUGCUAAAAACAUCAGAGCUCAACAUUUGACUGUAGAGCAGCACCAUUAGGUUUUUUGCUCAUUCACUCUGCCUGACCUACCUUGAACUACUGCAGUGCCAGUCAGCUCCCCUCAAUGGUUAAAUGGCAGGAAUCACUGGUGCACUCCAACAAAAGGAUCCUGAUACUGCCAACAUUGGAUGAUCAGGGUGUGGGGGGCCCGCGGUAGACACAGCAGGGGAUGAGGCCUGACCGAAGCACUUAAAGGAAGCCUGCUCUCCGGAGGAGUCGUCUGAAGCCCCGUUCUCUUUUUUCUGCUGCUCCUCAUAUGAACGCAUGGAUUGCAGAGCCAGCUGUUUCCUGUGCACAAGUACCCAGGUUAUUAUAGGCGGCGAUCACAGCUCCCGGGUCAGAAACAAUAUCAGCAGCACGAUGAUUUGCACCGAACACCUGAGAUAAUGGAGCUCCUGAUUUUAGGACUGACUCAGCUGACCUAUGCUGGAGGUUACAAUAACAAACCAAUUACAGUGCCAUUGAUUUAGUAGGCCCGUUUUUAUAUCAUAAUCGAUCUUCCACGUCACAUUGCCAAAAACAAUGCGAACACAAUCUAGUUUUAAACAUUCAAAGUUUGGGGAUUAUUUUAUAUUUUAAAACAAUUGGCAAGAAGAUAGUGAGGAAACAACUGCAUUAAACCCUACAAUGUUCCUUGCUCUGUGUCCAACAGUGCUAUGGACUUAUUGUAAGCCUAUUGAGCACUUUCAUCAGAAACUGCGAAGAGCCACACUCCCUGCGGGUUAAUGAGGAAGCUUUGACGCGAGCUUAAUCCUCACAGAUCACUGUCUGCCACCACGUAUAAAUCUGAAGACAUCUGAAGUGUUUUUUCGUCUUUGAAAUGUACUUUUCCUUCUUGUCUUACCUCUUUUCCCGUCGCCCAUUGCCCGUGUCACGGAAUCCUUUGGCAAAUGGAUUGUGAUCAAUCUUCA
Long non-coding RNA from Eleginops maclovinus (Patagonian blennie), 1079 nucleotides. RefSeq lists it as uncharacterized. NCBI's taxonomy places the organism in Eukaryota, Metazoa, Chordata, Actinopteri, Perciformes, Eleginopidae. The transcript has 3 exons. The record is from RefSeq and is a predicted model, not a curated record.